RNAcentral lists this ribosomal RNA (497 nucleotides) under uncultured bacterium. RNAcentral's name for it is "bacterial SSU rRNA". It matches the Rfam family "Bacterial small subunit ribosomal RNA", at positions 17 to 507 of the family's 1533-position model. The record is from RNAcentral.
UCCUGGCUCAGAUUGAACGCUGGCGGCAUGCCUUACACAUGCAAGUCGAACGGCAGCACGGGAGCUUGCUCCUGGUGGCGAGUGGCGAACGGGUGAGUAAUACAUCGGAACGUACCCUGAAGUGGGGGAUAGCGUAGCGAAAGUUACGCUAAUACCGCAUAUUCUGUGAGCAGGAAAGAGGGGGAUCGCAAGACCUCUUGCUUUAGGAGCGGCCGAUGUCGGAUUAGCUAGUUGGUGAGGUAAAGGCUCACCAAGGCGACGAUCCGUAGCGGGUCUGAGAGGAUGAUCCGCCACACUGGGACUGAGACACGGCCCAGACUCCUACGGGAGGCAGCAGUGGGGAAUUUUGGACAAUGGGCGCAAGCCUGAUCCAGCCAUGCCGCGUGAGUGAAGAAGGCCUUCGGGUUGUAAAGCUCUUUCGGUGGGGAAGAAAUUGCACAGGAUAAUACCUUGUGUAGAUGACGGUACCCGCAUAAGAAGCACCGGCUAACUACGUG